ACAGAAAACGCAAAACCAGAAAACACGGCCCAAACCAGAAACCAACCGAAUACAUGAAUAAAAGGAAAAUCUAGAAAAUAAAAGUCACUACCAUAAUACCCAAUCAAAUCCAUUCCUUUCACCCGUCCCAACAAAAAAUCAUUUCCCUUUCCCCGUCGAUUCCAGAGCUCGGAUAGGAAACCAAUCUGAAACCCUAUUUUCACCAAAGUUCAUCCGUCUCCCCUUGUCUCAUGCACUUUACCUCUUGCCUCAGUCUGGGUCCCUUUCCCAUUUCACUUCCAACGCUCGCUCUGCAUAUGCAGGAACUCUGCCCACUAGAUAAAUCGAUUCACUUCUCUUUAACGUUGCUGUUGCAAUGGUAUGUGAUAAUCCAUUCGCCGCUCAUAUGGUAUAUUUGAAACUGAUACACCGAAAACUGCCUUCUAACUGUUUUAUAUUGUGAAUGUAUGCCCCUAUAACCAAUUUGUCUCGAUAUUUUGACUUACAUUUCUUAAUUGUGGUUAAUGAAUCCCCCUCCAAUAUAACCUCUUCCCAACCUAUUUCUACGCCCAUUUCCAACGCCUGAUGGCAUGCAAUGGCUUGAGCGGCGAAAGCGGACAAUACUCCACUAUGGGUCUCCGAACGAGAUAACAGAACCCGCCCCUUAGCAUUCCUUGCGACAGCUCCUGAGGCCGACCGAAAGUUUCGACCGUCUUAAGCUCCAUCAAAGUUAAUCUUCACGGUAGAUCCAGAAGAUAGCCCAAAGCGCAUAACAGAAAAUACGCUUCUGAGUGGCCGAGCAUCCCCCAAAAACCCAGUGCACGCACGAAACACAUGGUCUACUGUUUCGGCCUCUCCCCCACACCGGGACAGCAUACUUAUUAAUGAGCUUCUUAUGUUUCAUGCUAACAAAAGUAGGUAGAUAGUUCCAAGAGAUCCUCCAUAUUGUAAUCUUAAUUUUCCCAGGGAGGUUUAGGCCCCAUAGCUGUUUAUAAAAUUCCUUAGUACUGGUCUGUAAAGCAUAAGCAGUAGGAACCAUAGGAAAGUUCUAUAAUAGUUUAUAAGCUACGUACCAAAAACUCCCCGGAUGGCUCACCACUCCACACCAUCAGAUCUUCAUGUGCCUCAUGUGCCAGCAGAAUUCGAAGGAUUCUAGAAGUGUCCACCGUCGCAAAGGUAUUAACGAUUAAUUCUUCUUUCUAUAUUCUUUGAUUAGCAUCAAUCAGAUCAACAAUCAUAGAA
This is a long non-coding RNA of Gossypium raimondii (Peruvian cotton), 1221 nucleotides long. RefSeq lists it as uncharacterized. NCBI's taxonomy places the organism in Eukaryota, Viridiplantae, Streptophyta, Magnoliopsida, Malvales, Malvaceae. The transcript has 3 exons. The record is from RefSeq and is a predicted model, not a curated record.